GAUCAUGGCUCAGGAUGAACGCUAGCUACAGGCUUAACACAUGCAAGUCGAGGGGCAGCAUGUUGGUUGCUUGCAACCGAUGAUGGCGACCGGCGCACGGGUGAGUAACGCGUAUCCAACCUACCCUUGUCCAUCGGAUAACCCGUCGAAAGGCGGCCUAACACGAUAUGCGGUUCACAGCAGGCAUCUAACGUGAACGAAUGUGAAGGAGAAGGAGUGGGAUGCGU
RNAcentral lists this ribosomal RNA (227 nucleotides) under uncultured bacterium. RNAcentral's name for it is "partial 16S ribosomal RNA". It matches the Rfam family "Bacterial small subunit ribosomal RNA", at positions 15 to 236 of the family's 1533-position model. The record is from RNAcentral.